This 73-nucleotide non-coding RNA is filed under the name Paramoeba aestuarina. The record is from RNAcentral. Lineage: Eukaryota; Discosea; Flabellinia; Dactylopodida; Paramoebidae.
CUCUCAUGUGGGAGUCUCUUUUCAUUGAUUCACUCAAAUGCUGAGCUCAAUUUUGAGCGUAUUAAAAGUUUCU